AGUGAACGCUGGCGGUAGGCCUAACACAUGCAAGUCGAACGGCAGCACAGUAAGAGCUUGCUCUUACGGGUGGCGAGUGGCGGACGGGUGAGGAAUACAUCGGAAUCUACUUUUUCGUGGGGGAUAACGUAGGGAAACUUACGCUAAUACCGCAUACGACCUACGGGUGAAAGCAGGGGAUCUUCGGACCUUGCGCGAUUGAAUGAGCCGAUGUCGGAUUAGCUAGUUGGCGGGGUAAAGGCCCACCAAGGCGACGAUCCGUAGCUGGUCUGAGAGGAUGAUCAGCCACACUGGAACUGAGACACGGUACAGACUCCUACGGGAGGCAGCAGUGGGGAAUAUUGGACAAUGGGCGCAAGCAUGAUACAGCCAUACCGCGUGGGUGAAGAAGGCCUUCGGGUUGUAAAGCCCUUUUGUUGGGAAAGAAAAGCAGCAGGUUAAUACCCCGCUGUUCUGACGGUACCCAAAGAAUAAGCACCGGCUAACUUCGUG
RNAcentral lists this ribosomal RNA (492 nucleotides) under uncultured bacterium. RNAcentral describes it as "partial 16S ribosomal RNA". It matches the Rfam family "Bacterial small subunit ribosomal RNA", at positions 29 to 507 of the family's 1533-position model. The record is from RNAcentral.